GCCGCGGUAGCUCAGCCUGGCUAGAGCGUUGCCCUGGUAAGGCAAAGGUCCCGGGUUCAAAUCCCGGCCGCG
This 72-nucleotide transfer RNA is filed under the name Sulfolobus acidocaldarius DSM 639. Its description in RNAcentral is "tRNA-Thr". It matches the Rfam family "tRNA". Rfam says of the family: Transfer RNA (tRNA) molecules are approximately 80 nucleotides in length. Their secondary structure includes four short double-helical elements and three loops (D, anti-codon, and T loops). The record is from RNAcentral. Lineage: Archaea; Thermoproteati; Thermoproteota; Thermoprotei; Sulfolobales; Sulfolobaceae.